Molecule: ribosomal RNA, 492 nt
Filed under: uncultured bacterium
Lineage: Bacteria
Description: partial 16S ribosomal RNA
Rfam family: Bacterial small subunit ribosomal RNA
Source: RNAcentral
AGUGAACGCUGGCGGUAGGCCUAACACAUGCAAGUCGAACGGCAGCACAGUAAGAGCUUGCUCUUACGGGUGGCGAGUGGCGGACGGGUGAGUAAUACAUCGGAAUCUACUUUUUCGUGGGGGAUAACGUAGGUAAACUUACGCUAAUACCGCAUACGACCUACGGGUGAAAGCAGUGGAUCUUCGGACCUUGCGCGAUUGAAUGAGCCGAUGUCGGAUUAGCUAGUUGGCGGGGUAAAGGCCCACCAAUGCGACGAUCCGUAGCUGAUCUGAGAGGAUGAUCAGCCACACUGGAACUGGACCACGGUCCAGACUACUACGGGAGGCAGCGGUGGGGAAUAUUGGACAAUGGGCGCAAGCCUGAUCCAGCCAUACCGCGUGGGUGAAGAAGGCCUUCGGGUUGUAAAGCCAUUUUGUUGGGAAAGAAAAGCAGCAGGUUAAUACCCCGCUGUUCUGACGGUACCCAAAGAAUAAGCACCGGCUAACUUCGUG